CCGCCCGUCACACCAUGGGAGUCAUUUGCUCUAGAAGUCGGUGCGCCAACCUCGUGAGGCAGCCGCCUAAAGAGUGAAUGGUGACUGGGGUGAAGUCGUAACAAGGUACCC
Molecule: ribosomal RNA, 111 nt
Filed under: uncultured bacterium
Lineage: Bacteria
Description: partial 16S ribosomal RNA
Rfam family: Bacterial small subunit ribosomal RNA
Source: RNAcentral